Molecule: long non-coding RNA, 282 nt
Organism: Cloeon dipterum
Lineage: Eukaryota; Metazoa; Arthropoda; Insecta; Ephemeroptera; Baetidae
Exons: 3
Source: RefSeq, a predicted model, not a curated record
UAACGCUAUGAAAUUCUUAAUCAAAGCUUUUUCUUUCCAACAGGAGGGCAAAGCGAGAUCGCUCAAGAUAACCAUUUACGGCGGAAAUGCAGCUCCAAUCACGAUUCAUUUGCCGAAACAAUUGCGGAGGAAAUACAUCGUCAAAUGUUGCGGAUUUAAAAAGUGUCUGCCACCAAAAGUUAACGCCACAACCAAAAUAACGUCUACAACUACGCCAAAGCGCAAAAGCGAGCCCGCAACGGUAACAACGAUUCGAGCCACCGUUUCGACAGGAAGCGAGCC